GACGAACGCUGGCGGCGUGCUUAACACAUGCAAGUCGAACGGAAAGGCCCUGCUUUUGUGGGGUGCUCGAGUGGUGAACGGGUGAGUAACACGUGAGUAACCUGCCCUUGACUUUGGGAUAACUUCAGGAAACUGGGGCUAAUACCGGAUAGGAGCUCCUGCUGCAUGGUGGGGGUUGGAAAGUUUCGGCGGUUGGGGAUGGACUCGCGGCUUAUCAGCUUGUUGGUGGGGUAGUGGCUUACCAAGGCUUUGACGGGUAGCCGGCCUGAGAGGGUGACCGGCCACAUUGGGACUGAGAUACGGCCCAGACGCCUACGGGAGGCAGCAGUGGGGAAUAUUGCACAAUGGGCGGAAGCCUGAUGCAGCAACGCCGCGUGCGGGAUGACGGCCUUCGGGUGGGAAACCGCUUUCGCCUGUGACGAAGCGUGAGUGACGGUAAUGGGUAAAGAAGCACCGGCUAACUACGUG
RNAcentral lists this ribosomal RNA (468 nucleotides) under uncultured bacterium. RNAcentral's name for it is "partial 16S ribosomal RNA". It matches the Rfam family "Bacterial small subunit ribosomal RNA", at positions 28 to 507 of the family's 1533-position model. The record is from RNAcentral.